AAAAUUGCCUCAAAUGUCUUACACCAUAAGCUAGUCCACUCGCUCUGGAGGAGCUGUCAUGACUGGAGUCCCAAACCCUGAAGAAUAGAUUUUCAGCUUCCAUUGGCAGCUGGGAUUGCUGCUGGCUUUGCAUCCUCCGCUUUCUCGUGUUCUUUGUUGAGCAUCUUAUUAUUAAUCAAGUUGUGGAGUGCUAUGACGCUUCGAAUGAGAGAUGAUAGAUAUGUAACCAACAUCAUAUCAUUUGUUUUCACAGCAAAAGCCUUGAUCAACUCAGUCACAUUAAGAUUUGGCAGUAGGUUGAACACAUCCUGCAUAAACAGACAUACAAGAAAAUAGUAAACAAAGUUGAGAACAUUGAAUGGCUAUUGUUCAACAGCACAUUGGUUCAUUUUGAAAACAUAGUGCCAUAAACAUCAAUAAGCUCUGUAGAUAAGCCUACAACUGGCACUCCCACAUAACCACUCAUGCACACAAACUCAAAGCCACAACUACUUGUGGCUGCCAGUGCACACUAUACUUGGAUAACAAACAAAUGAAUUUUCCAAACUAAUAAAUCAGCACUACAUUCAAACCUAGGUAGGCUUCUUAAGAAUGAUUAAUGAACCCGACAUAAUAAAUAUACCAAAAAUUAAGUAUCAAUAAGCAAUUAAAUAAUUCAUCGUCAAUUCCUACAUGCAGCCACGGGCUCUAACCAGUCAAAACCCAAGAACUUCAAACAUUUCUUUAGCUAAUAGAAGUAAUAAGCUUAUUUCAUUGAAUGGCAAGAGAAGGAAGAAUCAUCAAGUAUGAACAGAAUAUUAUUGAUUAAGUCUAUAAUAAAGGAAUACUAAAAUUUGUAGGUUGCAGUAAUAAAAAGAUAAUAUAUACCAGACCUGUAAAUGGUAGAGUAUCUCAUGAUUCAAUGGGAGCUUUCCAUCAAUGACAAGAUCAAGAUAGCCUCGUAUUUCUCGUAGGCGUGCAUCCAAACCCUUCAAGGCUGUAAGUUUACCCGUAACCUGAGAAUAGCAUAUAAUUAUGAUCCUUCACCUUAUUUCAAUUCAGCUAUAAUUUCAACAUCCAUAAACUCCAACAAUGAUUAAAAAAAUGAAGAAAGCUCAAUAAUUGAACAUAGAAAAUCUGAUAGAAAACAAAAACCUCAGUUGCAAGUGUGCUGAUGGUUGUGUCCUUCACAUCCCGUAGUAAGUGUUCAACUCCUGUGAUGGGCGAUGGAAGAACAUCAUUAGUGAAAAUAAAUGUCAAAUAAAACCAGGCUAACAUCAACUGUAUCUUCUUCAGAACUAAUAAUGGACAGGAACAAAAAAUAAAAAGCAGAAAGCAGACAUCCUGACAGGAUAAUUUGAUUUCUUAUCAUGCCAUACCAAUCUCCUCAACCUCAUGAGCUGCAAUUUCUGAAGGCACAUGAACAAAAACCUUCUGGCUCUUUUGUGUAGCAUUCUGUUGUUAUAAUAAAAAAAACAUAAGGGAGAAAUAGAAUCAGCACCUCAACAAAUAUCAAACAACUUCUUUAAUUUUAUUAAUGUCUUCUUAAUAUCAUUCUUAAUUUGAGCUUUCUUUGAUAAUUAAAUCAGUUGUAUUCCACUUCCAUAUAAUAUAAUGCAUUAUGCAUUAGAUUAAUCACUGACAACAACUGGAAGACAAAACAUGAUUUAUUCUUACCUCUUUAACCUCUUCAACAUCAUAGUAGGCCUUGGUGGGUAUUCCCAACUCCUUAGGCUGAACAUCAAUAAUGACCAAGACAGGAUUUUGGACAUAGCUACAUCCCCACAAAUCACUUAGUGAAAAAAUGUAAACUUAAAAAAAAUGCAGUGAUCUAAGUACAAGCUUCAUAACCCUCUUCCUUGUUAAAAAAUCAAAAGCGUACAUGGAACCGCAUAACAAACACAAAGAUACGGCAGUAAAAUAGAUAGGAAGUGAAAAGAGCAUGAAAUUUGUGAGAAAUUAUAAAAUGACUAUAAAUAAAAAUAUGAUCUUACUUGUGGAAUAACUGGUGAAUAUCUAGGUCAUUCUCCCGUAGCUUUGGGCCUGUACUAUACCAACCUACUACAUGCUCCUUGGCUGAAAAAAUUACCACAAAUUCAUAACAAAUAUAUGGAAACAAACAACGAUACAAUAUAACAAAAACUUAAAAAUAGGAAUCACAGGUUACAUGAAAUUGAAACAACAAUUACCAUUUAUUCUUUUGAACAUUGAAAACAUAGAUUCAUGGUAGUUGUGGUCAAGAAACCAUAUACUUGGGUCCUUGUCUUCUUCUUCAAAGGGCACUGAAAGUGCAAAAUUAUACAUUUAAAACUCAGCAAAAUUAUUCCUUUUAACAAUUGAUAUACAGUACACUAUGUUUACAAUGCAUGCUAUAAUCUUAGAACACAUCAUUCGCACAUAGAAUCCAAACUAGCUCUAUUGUCUUUUCUCCAUCCAUUAACAAAACCAAACCUCACCAACAUUUUAAACCUUCUCAUUCAAAGCAGAAGAAAUCCCUUUUGAGAAGAAAAUAACCUCAAUGGCCCCUAAUCACUGACCCAUUACCAUGGACUCCAAUCCGCUUCAACUUAAAGUUCAGUGCUUGAGAAAGGCUCUGGUGACUAGACUUGGGGAAAAACAUUAUACCAAACCCCACCUAAAAAUUUCCCUACUCACACAAAAUUGAGGACAAAUGAAGAAAUUAACAAUAGAGCUGAAAUAUCAUAUUAAACAAGGUUCACUGCGUAAAACCUAACCCACUAUACAAACAAACAAGAAAAAAAAUUGCAAAAGCCCAAUUUCCUGUAUUACAAUGAAAGUAAAGAAAGAAAACUUAGAUCUGCAGCAAAAUUAAGAAAAAUUAAACAGCCGAGCAAGGACUUAAGCGACUGAUAUAAAAAAGAAAUGGGACCUGCGUAGCUGUUGGUGAC
This 2888-nucleotide unclassified non-coding RNA is filed under the name Hevea brasiliensis (rubber tree). The record is from RNAcentral. Lineage: Eukaryota; Viridiplantae; Streptophyta; Magnoliopsida; Malpighiales; Euphorbiaceae.